Molecule: transfer RNA, 69 nt
Filed under: Camelus bactrianus (Bactrian camel)
Lineage: Eukaryota; Metazoa; Chordata; Mammalia; Artiodactyla; Camelidae
Also listed under: 3 other names
Rfam family: tRNA
About the family: Transfer RNA (tRNA) molecules are approximately 80 nucleotides in length. Their secondary structure includes four short double-helical elements and three loops (D, anti-codon, and T loops).
Source: Rfam by way of RNAcentral
GAGGGCAUAGCUCAGUGGUAGAGCAUGCUUAGCAUGCAUAAAGCCCUGGGUUCAAUCCCUGUACCUCCA